GCGGGAGUAACUCAGUGGUAGAGUGUCAGCUUCCCAAGCUGAAGGUCGCGGGUCCGAAUCCCGUCUCCCGCU
RNAcentral lists this transfer RNA (72 nucleotides) under Pseudomonadota bacterium. RNAcentral's name for it is "tRNA-Gly". It matches the Rfam family "tRNA". Rfam says of the family: Transfer RNA (tRNA) molecules are approximately 80 nucleotides in length. Their secondary structure includes four short double-helical elements and three loops (D, anti-codon, and T loops). The record is from RNAcentral. Lineage: Bacteria; Pseudomonadati; Pseudomonadota. RNAcentral also lists the same sequence under 2 other names.